AUAGAUGUAGGAGAGAGGGAUUGGAAACGGAAGUAGAUUUCAAUGUACUUCGCAUAUGACCUCGAUAAACAUCCUCGCCUCGCUUAAUGAGGGCUAAUUUAUUCCCCAGUAACCUCGCGGGUAACUGAGAUUAUUGCAAAUCUUGGAUUUUAUGAGUUGUCACUAGUAUUCUGUCAAGUUUUCCAGUAUCCAGUGCAACUGUGCUUUAUAUAGAUAGUGAAUAACCAUUAUUCAAGCUCUAUUUACCGUUGCAACUAUCUUCUUCAUUGAAUUUAGCAAUACCUCGCAAGCCAAAACUUACUGAGUACGCUGAAGAAAAGAAGACAGAAGAAUACCAAAGAAUACCCCUCCUCUCUACACCCCUACACGUCACCGCCCUCGUAAAUGUUAUUGGCUGUUCCGGCUAUAUAUACACUCUUGUAUGCCUCACCAGCUUCUCUCCAUCUAAGACUGUCUGAUUAGAGUGCUAAACUAAUCAUAAUUAUAGCUGUAAUAAUCAUUUUUAUCGUGUAAGUUUUUGUUAAUGUUGUUCGGUUUGAUCCCACUCGUUUUACACUUAGAAAGCAACUGGCAGUGCUGUGGAGUGUUUUGCUGUCUCCAAGUGUAUGUAAUUAUACUUAAUGAAUUGGAAAUUGAAAUGUAUACACGCUCACCAGCCUAGUAUAUAUAGAAACUUCGUACAACUGAUUCAUCAAAAGUGAAAACAAUUAAGAAAGUUACAUGGUGUAUUAUGUAUCUUGUCGUGUGAAUGAUCAUGGUUAUUGCCUCAAA
Long non-coding RNA from Halichondria panicea, 771 nucleotides. RefSeq lists it as uncharacterized. Lineage: Eukaryota; Metazoa; Porifera; Demospongiae; Suberitida; Halichondriidae. The record is from RefSeq and is a predicted model, not a curated record. The transcript is spliced from 2 exons.